AGGGCCUAGCUGAUUUCAACCACGGUAAUAAGCUCCAUAGAUAGCCUAUCACCGGGUGGAAAUCAGUUAGGGCCU
Caenorhabditis brenneri is the source of this 75-nucleotide non-coding RNA. NCBI's taxonomy places the organism in Eukaryota, Metazoa, Nematoda, Chromadorea, Rhabditida, Rhabditidae. The record is from Rfam.